RNAcentral lists this transfer RNA (65 nucleotides) under Euclimacia badia. RNAcentral's name for it is "tRNA-Ala". It matches the Rfam family "tRNA". From Rfam's summary of the family: Transfer RNA (tRNA) molecules are approximately 80 nucleotides in length. Their secondary structure includes four short double-helical elements and three loops (D, anti-codon, and T loops). The record is from RNAcentral. Lineage: Eukaryota; Metazoa; Arthropoda; Insecta; Neuroptera; Mantispidae.
AGGAUAAUAGUUAAAUUAACAUUUGAUUUGCAUUCAAAAAAUAUUGAUUAAAUCAAUUUAUCUUA